AACGAACGCUGGCGGCAUGCCUAACACAUGCAAGUCGAACGAGACCUUCGGGUCUAGUGGCGCACGGGUGCGUAACGCGUGGGAACCUGCCUUUAGGUUCGGAAUAAACUCAGAGAAAUUUGAGCUAAUACCGGAUAAUGUCUUCGGACCAAAAGAUUUAUCGCCUUUAGAUGGGCCCGCGUUGGAUUAGCUAGUUGGUGGGUAAAGCCUACCAAGGCGACGAUCCAUAGCUGGUCUGAGAGGAUGAUCAGCCACACUGGGACUGAGACACGGCCCAGACUCCUACGGGAGGCAGCAGUGGGAAUAUUGGGACAAAUGGGCGAAAGCCUGAUCCAGCAAUGCCGCGUGAGUGAUGAAGGCUAGGUGUAAG
This 370-nucleotide ribosomal RNA is filed under the name uncultured bacterium. RNAcentral describes it as "bacterial SSU rRNA". It matches the Rfam family "Bacterial small subunit ribosomal RNA", at positions 29 to 429 of the family's 1533-position model. The record is from RNAcentral.